ACCCUAACAUAUGUUACAACUCCUAUCAAUUACAUCUGGCCUGAAACCAAAUCAAUACCAGCUUUAGAUGAGGCUGUCAGUUUGUGGUAUCUUGUAUCACUUAACUGAUUCAUUAUGAAUGGAAAAACUGCUAACUAGAUGUCUCUGUAUUACUUACUCUCUAUAUAAUGGAAUAUAUACUAAUUUAGAUAACAACUAUGUUUUGAUAACUACAAGCAAUCUUUGCUUAUUGUUUAACUUAUGAAAGAAAUACAGCUCCUUGUGGUAUAUAAAGUUUGUUUCCAUGUGUCCAACAGAUUGACUAAGAUCAUGAGGACCUGACUGCUGUACAGAAAUCUGAAGACGCUUCUCUGUGUUGACUCUGAAUUUAAAUACAUCUUUGUCUUUAGGACACACAGAGUAGCCUCCCUUGCCAUCAUCUUCACGGAAUUCAAGACUCACAGAAAAUGUAAAAGUAUGCUCACUGCUAGUAAAUGAUGCCUCAUUAGA
Long non-coding RNA from Biomphalaria glabrata, 489 nucleotides. RefSeq lists it as uncharacterized. The record is from RefSeq and is a predicted model, not a curated record. Lineage: Eukaryota; Metazoa; Mollusca; Gastropoda; Planorbidae. The transcript is spliced from 3 exons.